AUGGAAGUCAAGUAUUUUGGAAUGGAGGGAGUACAUGCAUGCGAGCAACAUUUUCUUAAAGUUAUCACUUUAACUGACUGCACUUUGUUUCAUUUCAAGUUUCUAUCCUCCCACCAUCUUUCAUUAUCUUUGAAUGCAACCAAAAUUCUACCAUGGCUGCAAGUAAAAUUUCUGUGGAACUUUGACAUGGAUUGUAGAUGUAAUAUUAUAUGUAAGAUGGAUAGUCUGCAGCUGGAGCAGCAUUAUCAGCAUCAUAUGGAUAUACUGCAAAUUAGUUCUAAAAAUAUGCCAAUCAUUCAGAUGCCAUUAAUAUAA
RNAcentral lists this ribosomal RNA (315 nucleotides) under Triticum aestivum (bread wheat). Its description in RNAcentral is "partial small subunit ribosomal RNA". Lineage: Eukaryota; Viridiplantae; Streptophyta; Magnoliopsida; Poales; Poaceae. The record is from RNAcentral.